RNAcentral lists this transfer RNA (86 nucleotides) under Solirubrobacterales bacterium. Its description in RNAcentral is "tRNA-Leu". It matches the Rfam family "tRNA". Rfam says of the family: Transfer RNA (tRNA) molecules are approximately 80 nucleotides in length. The record is from RNAcentral. Lineage: Bacteria; Bacillati; Actinomycetota; Thermoleophilia; Solirubrobacterales.
GCCCGGGUAGACAAAUCGGCAAAGUCGGCGGUCUUAAAAACCGCUUUCCCUCUGGGAAGUUGCGGGUUCGAUUCCCGCCCCGGGUA